Molecule: non-coding RNA, 1758 nt
Organism: Anas platyrhynchos (mallard)
Lineage: Eukaryota; Metazoa; Chordata; Aves; Anseriformes; Anatidae
Source: RefSeq, a predicted model, not a curated record
AUGAUGUGGCACACCUGAGAAUUUGGGAGGAUUUUGCUGUUAGAGAAAAGGGAAGUGGAAAGAGCAUGUCUAAAGAAAAAAUAGAGAAUGAGAUUUUGCGUGUGUAUUUUAUUUAUUUAUUUUUAGUAGGCUCUGUUUAAAGUAAGGUCUAGAGAAGGCUGCUGAUGUGAGGGGCUUCUGCUAUGUGUGAGAAAGUGGUGUUUGGCACUACAUGUGGGAACGUGACUGAGCAGCAGAAGACUUCAGCACUUAUUGCCUACUGGCAGAUGCAACAUAUUCAGGUCACACGAGUUUAUUCAGCACGGAGAUGACUUUUGAGUGAGAAUGCUCAAGAAUUAGAACCAGGGAACUUCUGUGGAUUUCUUCUACCAGAAUAUGGACAUACAGACCCUGGUAGCUGAUGUAAUGACAGGCUGAACUUAGCUAAUUUAUGGAAGCGGUGUUAUGGAUGGUUCCAGGAAAGAUGUUGCCUUUUGGUAUGAUUGUUUUUCUUUUCUUGCCUGGGAGAGUCUCCAAGUGAACUGUUGAUAAUGUAACUGCUGAGAUGUGGUGCUGCUCAGUUUUCCCUGCAGGGAGAUAUGAACCUUGUUUGCUGUAUGGUGGGGAAAACUCUCAAACUCUGGGAAGCUGCUGCAGCAAAAUCCUCCUUCCUUAUGUCAGAGGAAUCCCCAUUAGAUAUAUAAAAAUGGGAGGUAUGAACCUCGCGUACUCUAUCCCCACUUCUGGAGCUAACGUCUUUUCUCUUCUUCUUAUGUGUGUGAUGUGUGCUUUGUCUUUUCUUUAAGUAGACAACGUACUUAUGGAUUUCUCCCCAAGAUUUCUUUUAGUUCAGUAAUCCUACUAAACAGUAGCUAUUUCCAUCAGCCCUUGAAAUAAACAACCAAGAUAUAAUUGGAGGUGGUAGCAUUCAGUGUUGAACUGCCUAAUGCUUUUCAACACAAGUUUUUCAGUUGCUGUUUUGCAACCCAACAGUGUCUGUUUCAGUUCAAGCUGCUAUGCCAGAUAGGAUUUCCCCUACCUUUUUUAGCCUUUCCUGCUAAAUGGGAAAACAUCUUGCUAAAAACAAAGCUAGAAUAGGUGUGCUUUCACUUGCUUGAAAACUUCAUGGAGCUCUUGCAUUACUUUGUCCAUUGUGUUUUGUAGGGAGGUGUUGUAUUGGCAAGGGAUUCUGUGAUGAAUCAGUAAAGGGUCUUUGCCCAUCUGUGAGAUUACAUACAAAUGUGGAACUCAUGUCUACCUAGGUGCCUUAGAGGUAUGGUUCUUGUAACUAUAAGACUUCCAUGAGGAAGCAUACUUGGGGGGGGGGGGGUAGGGGAAGGUAUUUUUAGAGUUUUUUACAGUGCAUUUUUCCUUUAUGUGAAGUUCUUGUCAGGUUCAAUGAGUUUUAGAGUAAUGAUCAGUGAAGAAAUAGGUGAAAGAUGUCAAUUAGGAAGUUUUGGCACUACAGGGUUUCAUAGGUGUAGUGUUGGACCAGGACUGAAGUGAGAGCCUUGUGUAACAUAACCCUAGUAAGUAAGGCCAGGAGACAGAAAAGGGAGAGAAGGAGAUCUUACUUGAAUCCUAGCUUCAAUACUUCCAGUUCCUCACUCUGGUCUCUGAGACUACAAGGUCUAAACAAAAGUCUUUGUCAUGCCACAUAGCAUAACCUUAGCAUUGCUAAUGUCAGUCUCCUUCCAUUAAAAUGUCUCAGCUUCCCCCCACCCUGCCUCAAAUCCCUUUAAAAAUAAAUAAAUAAAUAAAUAAAAUCCCUGAAAACCA